This is a non-coding RNA of Podarcis lilfordi (Lilford's wall lizard), 97 nucleotides long. NCBI's taxonomy places the organism in Eukaryota, Metazoa, Chordata, Lepidosauria, Squamata, Lacertidae. The record is from the annotation of a GenBank genome assembly.
ACCCUGUGGGUAGUUCAUUUGGUGGAGCAUGAGACACUUGGUCUCUGAUCUCAGAGUUUAGAUCUCAGGGUUGUGGGUUCAAGCCCCACAUUGAGUG